GGGGCUUGGGUCUGAGUGCCUCUGCUCCAGAGUGACUCUUCUUUAAAGAUGCCCUCAGUGGCUUCUUUAAACCGGGGGAUGGUGGGGAGUUGUGGCUCGGCAGGUUACCAACCCGACUAGGAUCUAUGAGGAGGAGGAUUUGAUCCCUGGCCUUUGCUCAGUGGGUUAAGGAUCCGGUAUUUCCGUGAGCUGUGGUGUAGGUCGCAGACACGGCUGGGAUCUGGCGUUGCUGUGUCUGUGGUGUCUGCCGGCGGCUACAGCUCUGAUUCCACGCCUAACCUGGGAACUUCUAUGUGCCAUGGGUGCAGCCCUAAUAAUAAAAAUAGAAAAUAAAAUAAAAUAAGAUGCCCUUGGCAUCAUUGUGCACCCCCCUUGCCCCCCGUCAUGUUCUUUCCCUGCCCUGCUAGUGUGUGGCGGUGGGUGGCAGGACCCAGAGACAUGGCCAGUGCCAGGAGCCACACAGCAGCAGCUUCUCUCUCCUCCCAGAUCAGCCCUGUCAGCCCUCCUCGAACCCGCACUGCCCGCCUGAUGACCGCCAAGGAGGGCCAGGCCCUGCUGAGUCACGAGGCCGCUCCCCCGCUGGGCACUGAGUCAUUCUUAACGAGCCCUCUGACGGGCAAACUGCUGCCAUCAUCCAGGAUUCACCCAAGUCUGCAGGAUUUGAGAACAUUCUUCCGGGAAGGAGUCUGGAGCCUCCCCCACACGGCUGCCCACAUCAGGAGCCUCAGAUACAGAGGCCUUUUUCCUUGCCUUUGGCCUCAGCAUCCAACACUCCACUCUUCUCAUGGAAACUCCGGGGGAGCGGCAGCGGAAACUCCAUCCGAUGCUUCACUGGGAAUCGGCAC
This 845-nucleotide long non-coding RNA is filed under the name Sus scrofa (pig). RNAcentral's name for it is "lncRNA (ENSSSCG00015044518.1)". Lineage: Eukaryota; Metazoa; Chordata; Mammalia; Artiodactyla; Suidae. The record is from RNAcentral.